Molecule: non-coding RNA, 1999 nt
Organism: Malus domestica (apple)
Lineage: Eukaryota; Viridiplantae; Streptophyta; Magnoliopsida; Rosales; Rosaceae
Source: RefSeq, a predicted model, not a curated record
UUUUAAAUUUUACUGUAUUUUAAAAAAAAAUUGUAUUUUUUUUAUAUUUUUUAAUUAAUUUUAAUGUAGUUAAUUAAUCUGGACCGUUGGAUUUGAAAAAUAUUCAAAUCCAAGAGCCCAGGAUCGACCACAUGGCCAUGCGCCAGCAAAUGGCCCGGCUUCUUGGUCAGCCUGUUUUGUGCUAGCCCAGAGACCAGCAUGGGCUGGGUGCCAGGCUGUUGUGCAGGUUGGAGGAUAUGGACAGGGUGAUGGGCUACUAUUUGGACUAAGUGCUGGGCAAAGUCCACUCCGGUGGACUUGCUCUUAAGGUUGUAUAAAGUUAGUCAGGCCGAAUUUUCUUUAUGCUGGGAUAUAUUUAGCAUCAUUAACCUAUUUGAAAACUAGUUUUGCACAAACACAGCAUAAUCUUUGUGAAAGCAUGUAUUUGACCGACAUGUAAAAUAAUUUCUACAUGUUUUAUGUAAAUGGUUAUUACAUAUCUAUGCAUAAUGCUUACGACACAUUUAGUCCCUUAUUCUAAGAUUCUAACACUUAAAUACAAUACUUAUAAUUCAAAUAGUCCUAGAAGAAUAGAAGAUUACUUCAUUUUUUUUGGCUUUGAAUAUGAAUUUCCAAAUUUAAGCCUCAUCAUAUCUAAAUGAGGACAUGAGUGGAAAUUACUCAUGUAUGUCUUGGAUAAUACAUUCACCACCCGUAGCUAAUUAGAAAUGUAGGGUAGAAACGUUCAGCACCAAUCACGAAUGAUGUAUCUAGAACCACCAAUGAAGAGAGAAUUGGAGUGGAGCACAAGGAAUACGCCCCAACCAUCAAAUCUGGUCGAGAGCAUCCCUUGUGCAUCUGUUGACUAUGCUGCCACUUCAUCGCAGCACAUUGGUGAGCAACCUAUUCCAAUUCCAAUUCCCAUUUCAAAUAAUAUGUUGUUACCUCCUUUGGUGCAGGUACCUAAUCGAAUUCCAGGUGGUGGGAGAGUUCACGUUGACUUAUGGAAGCAAAACACCACAAUCAGGAAGGAUCACUAUCCUUUUCCAUUCAAAAAUCCAAAAGUAUGAAGUGUUUCGAGGGGCAGGUUGUGGAGGAAAUACCCCUCCAUGCCGUGGGCCCCAAUGAAGCUUAAAAAUGAGGUAUCGUUCUGCUGGAAGACGUUAAAGCAAGCGCUUCUUGGGAGGCGACCCAUGUGUUCAAAUAAAGAAGACCGAGGAAGCUCCGACUCCAUAACCAGAGUCCAAAUGACAAAGUUGGCAAGAAAGUGCAAUUUGGAGCAUUUUGGAGCAGUUUUGGGCCAAUAAUGGAUAACACAUGCAUGGAGCAAGGUGGAUGGACGUUUUUGAAGUUCAAGAGGCUAGGAAUGUGCUGAAAAAAAUGAAGAAAAUAAAGUCAAGACAAAGAAAAUAAGGAAUCAGCUAAAAAUAAGGAACAUUAUCCAAAACCUUAUCUUAUCCAAACUAACAUUAUCUUAUCUUAUCCUACCUUAUCUUCAGCUGCAAAAGGAGUCCUUAUCCUAUUCUAAAUCCUUCCCAUCUGAAUUUAGGAGUCUUAAUCCAUCUAAACACAUUAAUUCUUUUCCUUGCUGGAAUCUGAUGAGAAGUGUCAUAUUUCCUUGCUAAUUUGGAGUCUUAAUCCUCUUCUUUCACACCCUUGCCGUGCCUUCUCUCUCCCUAUAAAUAUAUUGUGUUGCAGCCCUCAGAAAUCACCCACCAUUCACCACAAAUUCGUCCCAUACAUCCCUCAUACACAUUCAUCCCAUUGUGUCGCAGCUUUGCAAAGAGAAAGGAGAUGAGAACCUUUGUCGUGCCCCUGCCAUUCAAGAUUGGAUUGCUGGAGUGUUCUUAGGUGUUUUCUAUCAUUUAUUUUCAAUGUUUAAUUUAAGUUGUCUUUGUUUAAUUGCAAACAUGAGGAGCUAAACUCGUUUUAGUUAGGGGGAAAUUCAAAGCCAUGAACAUAUUUGCAAUAUGAAUUGAUUACUUCUAGUUGUGAUUUCAUGAAUCGUGAAUGCAAUUUG